Molecule: RNA transcript, 1908 nt
Organism: Melanotaenia boesemani (Boeseman's rainbowfish)
Lineage: Eukaryota; Metazoa; Chordata; Actinopteri; Atheriniformes; Melanotaeniidae
Gene: pex11b
Gene name: peroxisomal biogenesis factor 11 beta
Exons: 5
Source: RefSeq, a predicted model, not a curated record
UGAUUGCUAAAUGAAUAAUUUAAAUUAAUUAGCCUGACUGAGUUUCACAUGUCCUUAUAUUAUUAUUACCUUUACUUUCUAAAAUUCACAUUUAAACUGUAGGUCAUCUUAUGCCCAGAACAAUGCCAAACGUUGUUUGUCUGUAGUGUGUAUGCAUCACUGCUUCUCCGCUCCAGAAAAAAGUUCAGGCUCAGGAUUGUUUUGACUGUGAGCCCUGCACACAGCUUCAACACGCCUCUCAGUGUGCCAGCGUGGAAAUCUGUCAGGAAUGCUGUUUAUCUGGCAGCUAGAUAAUAACCAUGAAGAUAAUAGCAGCAGGUUCCGGCCAGCAGGGGGCGAUAGUUCAACUCCUGCUGCCGGAAAUUCAGUUGAAGAAGAAGCGGAAGCGGAAGAGGAAAGGGGUUCGCUCUUUACAGUAAAAACAAAACUCGGAGGCUAAAUAAUCCACAGUCCUUUCUGGAUCAGAACCGUUCACCAGACAUAUACAGAACCAGAACAUUUGAAUGAUAACCGGAACUUCGAGAUCCAGAUCAGAACCGAUUCGCUGCUGCGGGCCCGGAACGGAGACCCGGAAUGGAGUCCUGGGUUCGGUUCAACGCUCAGAGUCAGUCCAAGGAGAAGGCGAUCAGGGCAGCCCAGUAUGCCUGCAUGGUCCUGGGCUACUCGCUGCAGUGGAACAGAGCAGCAUCGGACUUCUACAAAACCAUCAGUGAGCUGGAGAAACAUCUGAGCCUGACUCGAAAAUUGCUUCGCCUGGGGAACUCGGUGGAAGCUCUGGAGGCAGCCAAACGCUCCAUCCACCUGUCAGACGGCGUGUUGAGGCUCUGCCUGACCAUCAGCCACCUGAACAGAGCCAUGUACUUCGCCUGCGACAACGUCCUGUGGGCUGGAAAAACCGGAGUCCUCUCCAAACUAGAUCAACAGAAAUGGAGUCAGAGAUCUUUCAGGUACUACCUGUUUUCUCUCAUCAUGAAUCUGACCAGAGAUGUGUAUGAGCUCUGCCUCCUCGUGGACCAUGAGAACCGAUCCAGAAGGUCCAAAUUCUCCAACACCUGCCUCCCUGCUGACCUCUCCUCCUCAUCUCCAGCAGCUCUUCCUCUCAUGACAGCGUGGCUCCAGCGACACCUCCGGCAGGUGGUAACGAUUCUCUACAAUAACCCGCCUUUGCUGUUGGACCUGCUGAAGAACAGCUGUGAUGUCUUCAUCCCCUUGGACCAGCUGGGGAUUUACAGAACUGGACCGGGCUUUGUGGGAACCUGCGGCCUGGUCUCCUCCGUCCUCUCCAUCCUCGCCGUGGUCCACCCCUGGCUCAAACUCAAGCCAUGAACCCAGAGACACGGCAGGCAAGAUGGGAGGAGUUCCCUGGGGUUUGGUCCUGAAGACUUCUGCUCCAAGCUGACCAGCAGGUCUUCCUGGAUAAAAGUUGCAGAGUCUGUUGGUCUCUCUUUUCUGUCCUUUCCACCCCGACCGGUCGAGGCAGAUGGCCGCCCUCCCUCAGCCGGGUUCUACUGGAGGUUUUUCCUUUCCACUUUCACCUGCUGCCCCAUGCCUGCUCAAGAUGGAGGACUGAAUCCAAGUCAUGCUUUUCCCUAACUAGGCUAUUAUGUGUUUUGAAUUGCUUGUAAAGAGCCCUGAGUUGACGUUGUUGUGAACUGGUCUGGAGCCUUGCAACUAAUCAUAUGUUACUGAAUCUUUUACAGCAUACAUGAAAUUAAAGUUAUUCUUUAAAAAAAAUAUUGAUCUGUGGAUUAAAUUAAUAUUUCUACAAGUUUGAGUGAAUAAUCUUUUUUUUCUCUUGAAACAUCCCUCCCUUAAUAUACGUAUGUACUAUGAAAAUAGAAGGGAUAUAUCUAUUUAUGCCAUAUUUUUUAUAUAUAUUUAAUGAUCUUUGGAGAAUUUACAGCAAGC